This 624-nucleotide ribosomal RNA is filed under the name uncultured bacterium. RNAcentral describes it as "bacterial SSU rRNA". The stretch from base 1 to 540 matches the Rfam family "Bacterial small subunit ribosomal RNA", at positions 338 to 873 of the family's 1533-position model. The record is from RNAcentral.
CCUACGGGAGGCAGCAGUAAGGAAUAUUGGACAAUGGUGGCAACACUGAUCCAGCCAUGCCGCGUGCAGGAUGACGGUUCUAUGAAUUGUAAACUGCUUUUAUACGGGAAAAACCCUCAAGACGUGAUUUUGAGCUGAUUGUACCGUAAGAAUAAGGAUCGGCUAACUUCGUGCCAGCAGCCGCGGUAAUACGGAGGGUGCAAGCGUUAUCCGGAUUCACUGGGUUUAAAGGGUGCGUAGGUGGGCAUUUAAGUCAGUGGUGAAAUCUCCGGGCUUAACCCGGAAACUGCCAUUGAUACUAUUUGUCUUGAAUAUUGUGGAGGUAAGCGGAAUAUGUCAUGUAGCGGUGAAAUGCUUAGAUAUGACAUAGAACACCCAUUGCGAAGGCAGCUUACUACGCAAAUAUUGACACUGAGGCACGAAAGCGUGGGGAUCAAACAGGAUUAGAUACCCUGGUAGUCCACGCCCUAAACGAUGGAUACUCGACAUCAGCGAUACACAGUGGUGUCGUGAGACGAAGACGAUUAAGUAUAACCUACCGUACGGUUAGGUUACGUACCGACGAGUAGAACGACGAAGAAGUUAGAGGCGNGAGAGNGCGACGGACGACGACGAGGGAGGAGG